AAAAAUUAGGAUAUAUCGCCUGUAUAUCUAGGUCACGGUAACAGUUCCAAUGUCGUCUGUUGACAACGUGUGUAAACAACUUCUAAGUUACAGCCCAUCGCUCAGAAGAAAGGAAGGUUUAUCAGAAAGGAUAAAUGCAUGCGUUCUUUUAAAAUAAAGAAUAUGAAUAGCUUCAACUUGAAAGUUCACACAGUCUUAAAUGAUUCUCAACUUAUAAGAUCAUAUGAUAUAAGUUUUUGGAAGUUGGAGAAAUUCGGCGUCCGAUCACAGACAGUGACUCUCCGUUUGACGAAACCUGGAAAGAAGGUCGAAGGAUAGCUCCAGUUGAUCACCUAGUGCAGAAUAAGUUCGUUAAGAUAUAAAACUGUCCCCUGCGGAUACUGUCUGUGAACGGAAAUACGACCGUCAAGGCUUGGACCAGGAGCCGAGGCGGAGGCCGUGGAGCUUUUUGUCCAUACCAUAUCGUUGUAGCUGCAGUGAAUGUAACCUGCUUAUCAUACAUGUGUAACAGUGUUGAAACGAGGAAAGAAAUGGAACUGGUGAAUUGUUAUCAAUUCAAAAGCUGUACAUGGAAUGAUACAUGCAGGAAUUUGUGCCACACAUUUCAACAAUUUCCUUAAUGGAUUGAAUGUACUUUAUGUGAAUUCAUCAGCCAUACUUAAAAAGAAAAAGGAGAAUGAAACUGGAAAGAAAAUAUUUGCAGUUGCAAAAGAAUGCUGUAAAUAAAUUCAAAAGAAGAAACAGUUUUAAACAUGGUUAAUUUAAUGAAUAAUUGGAAGGUUGAAGCUACUUUUGUUGCAGAAUGGCAAAUGUUUGGUACUGGUUGAAACUAUGAAAGUGAUACAGGUCCCAUGGUAAUCAUUUAACAGCAGGUUUUUAACAGCAGUUAUGCAGAAAAAUGAAGGAUGACUGUCAAUGGUAAAUACAUACAUUUUAGGAUGAUUACAUGUAGUUACCUUUGAGAAAAAACUUGAGGUUUCAUUUGACACUUUUUAAUCUAAUAAUGGUGUUUUGCAGGCAUUUAUAACAUUUCUUUUUGGACAAUAUAUUUAGUAGACUCAACUAUAAAAUGAAGGAUCAUGUAAACUUGUACACAUAUGUCACUGACCUACAUUUUCCACUUCAUUGACUUUGGUAACAUUAAACAUCCAAUUUCAUAUACAACAAAGGUAUAUCUCAGCAAC
Molecule: long non-coding RNA, 1184 nt
Organism: Mytilus trossulus (common blue mussel)
Lineage: Eukaryota; Metazoa; Mollusca; Bivalvia; Mytilida; Mytilidae
Exons: 4
Source: RefSeq, a predicted model, not a curated record